This 465-nucleotide ribosomal RNA is filed under the name uncultured ciliate. Its description in RNAcentral is "SSU rRNA". It matches the Rfam family "Eukaryotic small subunit ribosomal RNA". The record is from RNAcentral. Lineage: Eukaryota; Ciliophora.
AUUUGUCUGGUUAAUUCCGAUAACGAACGAGACCUUAACCUGCUAACUAGAUUCUUUUAUUUUAUAACUGAUAUCUUUUUAGAGGGACUAUGUAAUCUAAAUACAUGGAAGUUUGAGGCAAUAACAGGUCAGUGAUGCCCUUAUAUGUCCUGGGCUGCACGCGUGCUACACUGAUGCAUACAACAAGUGCCUAACCAGACAUGGUAUGGCAAUCUCGAAUAUGCAUCGUGAUGGGGAUAGAUCUUUGCAAUUAUAGAUCUUGAACGAGGAAUUCCUAGUAAGUGCAAGUCAUCAUCUUGCAUUGAUUAUGUCCCUGCCCUUUGUACACACCGCCCGUCGCUCCUACCGAUACCGGGUGAUCCGGUGAACCUUUUGGACCUGUAUGGGGAAGAUAAGUAAACCAUAUCACCUAGAGGAAGGAGAAGUCGUAACAAGGUUUCCGUAGGUGAACCUGCRGAAGGAUCA